Molecule: transfer RNA, 69 nt
Filed under: Sterechinus neumayeri
Lineage: Eukaryota; Metazoa; Echinodermata; Echinoidea; Camarodonta; Echinidae
Description: tRNA-Ser
Source: RNAcentral
CGAAAUCUAUUGGUUUGCCUUGGUCCUGCUAAGUCCAAAGGUCUGCGGUUCAACUCCGUUGAGUUUUCG